Molecule: ribosomal RNA, 465 nt
Filed under: uncultured bacterium
Lineage: Bacteria
Description: partial 16S ribosomal RNA
Rfam family: Bacterial small subunit ribosomal RNA
Source: RNAcentral
GGCGAACGCUGGCGGCGUGCUUAACACAUGCAAGUCGAACGGAAAGGCCCUGCUUGCAGGGUCCUCGAGUGGCGAACGGGUGAGUAACACGUGGGUGAUCUGCCCUGCACUUCGGGAUAAGCCUGGGAAACUGGGUCUAAUACCGGAUAGGAGCCAUUUUUAGUGUGAUGGUUGGAAAGUUUUUUCGGUGUAGGAUGAGCUCGCGGCCUAUCAGCUUGUUGGUGGGGUAAUGGCCUACCAAGGCGGCGACGGGUAGCCGGCCUGAGAGGGUGGACGGCCACAUUGGGACUGAGAUACGGCCCAGACUCCUACUGGAGGCAGCAGGGGGGAAUAUUGCACAAUGGGCGCAAGCCUGAUGCAGCGACGCCGCGUGGGGGAUGACGGCCUUCGGGUUGUAAACUCCUUUCGCUAGGGACGAAGCUUUUUGUGACGGUACCUAGAGAAGAAGCACCGGCUAACUACGUG